Aureimonas altamirensis is the source of this 393-nucleotide non-coding RNA. It matches the Rfam family "Bacterial RNase P class A". Rfam says of the family: Ribonuclease P (RNase P) is a ubiquitous endoribonuclease, found in archaea, bacteria and eukarya as well as chloroplasts and mitochondria. The record is from Rfam. Lineage: Bacteria; Pseudomonadati; Pseudomonadota; Alphaproteobacteria; Hyphomicrobiales; Aurantimonadaceae.
CCAGCCGGCCGGGCGACCGCUGCCGCAAGGGCCGAAAGGCCGCGGGAGAGGAAAGUCCGGGCUUCACGGAGAAACGGUGCCGGGUAACGCCCGGCGAGGGUGACCUCAGGGAAAGUGCCACAGAAAGCAAACCGCCGGCGCGCCGCAUGGCAGGCCGGUAAGGGUGAAAGGGUGGGGUAAGAGCCCACCGCGCGCCUGGCAACAGGCGUGGCAAGGUAAACCCCACCGGAAGCAAAACCGAAUAGGAACGACACGGCGCUCGCGCCAGCCUUCUCCGGGCCCGUCGUUCGGGUAGGUUGCUUGAGGCGCGGCGCGAGCCGCGUCCCAGAUGAAUGGUCGCCGCCCGGCCGCACGGCCGGUGCACAGAACCCGGCUUACAGGCCGGCUGGCUCC